Molecule: ribosomal RNA, 2817 nt
Filed under: metagenome
Description: bacterial LSU rRNA
Rfam family: Bacterial large subunit ribosomal RNA
Source: RNAcentral
AGGGUGCAGGGCGGAUGCCUUGGCACUAGGAGCCGAUGAAGGACGUGAUAAGCUGCGAUAAGCUUCGGGGAGUUGCACGUAAACUUUGAUCCGAAGAUUUCCGAAUGAGGAAACUCACUUAGAGUAAUGUCUAAGUAUCAUUAAGUGAAUACAUAGCUUAAUGAGGGGAACUCAGGGAACUGAAACAUCUAAGUACCUGAAGGAAGAGAAAGAAAUUCGAUUCUGUAAGUAGCGGCGAGCGAACGCGGAUUAGCCCAAACCAAUAAAGUUUUCUUUAUUGGGGUUGCGGACAUAUCAUAACGAAGAGGUAUCGUAAUUGAAGAGGUUUGGAAAGACCCACCACAGAAGGUAAUAGUCCUGUAUGUUAAACGAGAAGACUUCAGAUAUGAUCCAGAGUACCACGGGACACGUGAAACCCUGUGGGAAGCAGGAGGGACCACCCUCCAAGGCUAAAUACUACCUAGUGACCGAUAGCGUAUAGUACCGUGAGGGAAAGGUGAAAAGAACCCCGGGAGGGGAGUGAAAUAGAACCUGAAACCCUGCACUUACAAGCUGUGGAAGCACAUUUCUUGUGUGACCGCGUACUUUUUGUAGAACGGGCCAACGAGUUACGUUAAGUAGCAAGGUUAAGCACUUAAGGUGCGGAGCCGUAGCGAAAGCGAGUUUUAACUGAGCGUUCAGUUACUUGACGUAGACCCGAAACCGGGCGACCUACCCAUGAGCAGGAUGAAGCGAAAGUAAAAUUUCGUGGAGGUCCGAACCCACGAGCGUUGAAAAGCUCGGGGAUGACUUGUGGGUAGCGGUGAAAUUCCAAUCGAGCCCGGAGAUAGCUGGUUCUCCCCGAAAUAGCUUUAGGGCUAGCCUCAAGGUGAGAGAUACGGAGGUAGAGCACUGAAUGUCCUAGGGGGUAUUGCACCUACCGAAGACUAUCAAACUCCGAAUGCCGUCAUCUUAUACUUGGGAGUCAGACUGUGGGUGAUAAGAUUCAUAGUCGAAAGGGCAACAGCCCAGAUCGUCAGCUAAGGUCCCUAAAUGUAAGUUAAGUGGUAAAGGAUGUGGGAUUGCACAGACAACCAGGAUGUUGGCUUAGAAGCAGCCACUCAUUCAAAGAGUGCGUAAUAGCUCACUGGUCGAGUGAUCCUGCGCCGAAGAUUUCCGGGGCUAAAACUUACUACCGAAGCUACGGCAUCAGUAAUGAUGGGUAGGGGAGCUUCCCAUACGGGUUGAAGCAUGACCGUAAGGACAUGUGGACAGUAUGGGAGUGAGAAUGUUGGCAUGAGUAGCGAGAUGUGGGUGAGAAUCCCACAGGCCGUAAACCCAAGGUUUCCAGGGGAAGGUUCGUCCGCCCUGGGUUAGUCGGGACCUAAGCUGAGGCCGAAAGGCGUAGGUGAUGGACAACAGGUUGAUAUUCCUGUACUACCGAUAACCGUUUGAGAGAAGGGAUGACACAGUAGGAUAAGCUAAGCACACUGUUGGUUAUGUGUGCCCAAGCAUUGAGGCAGUCAAAGUAGGCAAAUCCGCUUUGAUAAUGCUGGGAUGUGAUGGGGAGCGAAAUUUAGUAGCGAAGUAGCUGAUUUCACACUGUCAAGAAAAGUCUCUAUCGAGGUUAAAGGUACCCGUACCGCAAACCGACACAGGUGGGUGAGGAGAGUAUCCUAAGGCCAGCGAGAGAACUGUUGUUAAGGAACUCGGCAAAAUGACCCCGUAACUUAGGGAUAAGGGGUGCCACCAUCAGGUGGCCGCAGAGAAUAGGCCCAAGCGACUGUUUACCAAAAACAUAGGUUUCUGCUAAGUCGCAAGACGAUGUAUAGGAGCUGACGCCUGCCCGGUGCUGGAAGGUUAAGGGGAUCUGUUAGAGCAAUCGAAGCAGUGAACUUAAGCCCCAGUAAACGGCGGCCGUAACUAUAACGGUCCUAAGGUAGCGAAAUUCCUUGUCGGGUAAGUUCCGACCCGCACGAAAGGCGUAACGAUUUGGGCACUGUCUCAACAACAGACUCGGUGAAAUUGUAAUUCCGGUGAAGAUGCCGGAUACCUGCGACAGGACGGAAAGACCCCAUGGAGCUUUACUGUAGCUUGACAUUGGGUCUUGGUACUACAUGUACAGGAUAGGUGGGAGGCUUUGAAACCAGGACGCCAGUUUUGGCGGAGCCAUCCUUGGGAUACCACCCUUGUAGUACUGGGACUCUAACCAUAGGCCAUGAAUCUGGUCUUGGGACACUGUCAGGUGGGCAGUUUGACUGGGGCGGUCGCCUCCCAAAAGGUAACGGAGGCGCUCAAAGGUUCUCUCAGUACGGUCGGAAAUCGUACGUAGAGUGUAAAGGCAAAAGAGAGCUUGAUUGCAAGACAUACAGGUCGAGCAAGGAUGAAAAUCGGACUUAGUGAUCCGGUGGUUCUGCGUGGAAGGGCCAUCGCUCAACGGAUAAAAGCUACCCUGGGGAUAACAGGCUUAUCUCCCCCAAGAGUCCACAUCGACGGGGAGGUUUGGCACCUCGAUGUCGGCUCAUCACAUCCUGGGGCUGUAGUAGGUCCCAAGGGUUGGGCUGUUCGCCCAUUAAAGUGGUACGCGAGCUGGGUUCAGAACGUCGUGAGACAGUUCGGUCCCUAUCCGUCGCAGGCGUAGGAAAUUUGAGAAGACCUGUCCUUAGUACGAGAGGACCGGGAUGGACGUACCUCUGGUGUACCAGUUGUCCUGCCAAGGGCAUGGCUGGGUAGCUAUGUACGGAAUGGAUAAGCGCUGAAAGCAUCUAAGCGCGAAGCCAACUUCAAGAUAAGAUUUCCCACCGCAAGGGUAAGACCCCAGAAAGACUAUCUGGUUGA